GCUGGGCACAGUGGUGCAUGCCUGUAAUCCCAGCAAUUUAGGAGGCUAAGGCAGGAGGAUCACAAGUUCAAAGCCAGCCUCAGCAAAGCGAGGCACUUAGCAACCCAAUGAGACCCUGUCUCUA
This 124-nucleotide small RNA is filed under the name Marmota monax (woodchuck). The record is from RNAcentral. Lineage: Eukaryota; Metazoa; Chordata; Mammalia; Rodentia; Sciuridae.